AUUGAACGCUGGCGGCAUGCCUUACACAUGCAAGUCGAACGGCAGCACGGGAGCAAUCCUGGUGGCGAGUGGCGAACGGGUGAGUAAUAUAUCGGAACGUGCCCAGUCGUGGGGAUAACGUAGCGAAAGCUACGCUAAUACCGCAUACGAUCUAUGGAUGAAAGCGGGGGAUCGCAAGACCUCGCGCGAUUGGAGCGGCCGAUAUCAGAUUAGGUAGUUGGUGAGGUAAAGGCUCACCAAGCCGACGAUCUGUAGCUGGUCUGAGAGGACGACCAGCCACACUGGGACUGAGACACGGCCCCAGACUCCUACGGGAGGCAGCAGUGGGGGAAUUUUUGGGACAAUGGGCGCAAGCCUGAUCCAGCAAUGCCGCGUGCAGGAUGAAGGCC
RNAcentral lists this ribosomal RNA (389 nucleotides) under uncultured bacterium. Its description in RNAcentral is "bacterial SSU rRNA". It matches the Rfam family "Bacterial small subunit ribosomal RNA", at positions 30 to 416 of the family's 1533-position model. The record is from RNAcentral.